UUGAAUAAAAUUGGUGUCGAGUUGUUGCUGGCUUUUCGGAGUAAUGUGCACGCUCAAACCAUUUUUAUUAAACCACCUGUGCACCUUUGUAGACUCCAAAUACAUUGAGAAUCCGCUAGUUAACUCCUAGCUUUUCUCGUAUUUGGAUCUAUGUCUUUAUAUACCCCAUAAUAGUCUCAGAAUGUGAUGGUAUAGGGCCUUUGCGCCUUUAAAAAUUGAAAUAACUUUCAACAACGGAUCUCUUGGCUCUCGCAUCGAUGAAGAACGCAGCGAAAUGCGAUAAGUAAUGUGAAUUGCAGAAUUCAGUGAAUCAUCGAAUCUUUGAACGCACCUUGCGCUCCUUGGUAUUCCGAGGAGCAUGCCUGUUUGAGAGUCAUAAUAUUCUCAACCUCUCUUAACUUUGUUUUAAGUGAGGCUUGGAUUAUGGGAGUUGCGGGCUUUUUCUUUAUUAGAACAAUCCGCUCUUCUUAAAUAUAUUAGUGGAGUCUUUGACCGAUCAUCUUUUUAGUAUGAUAAUUAUCUAUACUAUUGGGACUCGGUUGUUUACCCUGUAUUAAAGGGGAGGAUUCCGCUACUAACCGUCUUUAUUAAGACACUAUACUAUGACAUUUUGACCUCAAAUCAGGUAGGACUACCCGCUGA
RNAcentral lists this ribosomal RNA (642 nucleotides) under Entoloma chytrophilum. RNAcentral describes it as "eukaryotic LSU rRNA". The stretch from base 223 to 376 matches the Rfam family "5.8S ribosomal RNA". The record is from RNAcentral. Lineage: Eukaryota; Fungi; Basidiomycota; Agaricomycetes; Agaricales; Entolomataceae.